Corvus hawaiiensis (hawaiian crow) is the source of this 965-nucleotide long non-coding RNA. RefSeq lists it as uncharacterized. The transcript has 2 exons. Lineage: Eukaryota; Metazoa; Chordata; Aves; Passeriformes; Corvidae. The record is from RefSeq and is a predicted model, not a curated record.
GGGACAGCAGCUGGAGAUGGAAAAUUGUCAGAAGGACAACCACAUGCUUCAUCCGGGCCACAUGCCUUGGGGGGCAGCUGACCAUUAGUGCCCAGCUCUGCCAGGAGUCUGUUUCCUGAGGGUUGCUGUGACUGUGAACUCCCUUGGCUGCUCUCCUCCAGCGAGUCCUCGGGAACAUCAGACAAGAUCUGUUCUGAUUUACUGGAGUUAUGCCUGGUGUCAGCUGAAAGCUGUGAUCUUGGCUGCAUGCCUGGUUUGUCCAUAGCUAUAGGAUGUGUCUUCGAGGGAAAUGCUCCUGCUAUUGAUUCACCAGGGGAACAGAAGCAUCCAUCUCCAUCAGGAUCAGUAUAUUUUGACCACAAGCUGCUGUCUGGCUCCAUGGACAAUGCUGAAUGAUGAUGUGCUGGUGCUCUGCAAAGGCAAGAUGUGCUGGCCUGAGGUGUUCGAGCAACACAUGGGCUCUGGCCCUCCUCAUCCUUCAUAUCCUCUCCAGAAGGCUGCAAAGCCUUUUCCAAGACAUGUUCAGGUAACUGGGACCAUGGCAUGGAUUCAUCCACUUCGACUGGUAUGCUUCGACCCACAAAAGUGCCUGAAAAAUUGAGAGAACAAACACUGGAGAUGGACAGCCACACAGUCAAACGCCUAUCAUUCGUUAUCAUUCAGUGACUGUGAGCUGGAAUACUGAAGAGCAAUAUGUAUUCUUUAUAUUCUUUAUACUUUAAUGCUUUUUAAAAAGAUGGCAGAAAACAGCAAGAAAGGUCUGGCUGACUUUUGGCAAAACAGAAAGUAGAGGGUUAGCUGGAGUGAAGCUAGUAGAGAGUUACAGUUUGGACUAACCUGAUACAGAGGCCAUUUCCAAAUUUUUUUGUUGAACUGGAAGUGAGUCAGCUGCCUUACUGCAAGGCCAGGAUUUUUCAGCAAGCUGGAAAACAAGAAAAAGGACUCUUGUGAACAUGGUACAAUUU